CGAACGGGUGAGUAACGCGUAGGUAACCUGCCUUGUAGCGGGGGAUAACUAUUGGAAACGAUAGCUAAUACCGCAUAACAAUGGAUGACCCAUGUCAUUUAUUUGAAAGGGGCAAAUGCUCCACUACAAGAUGGACCUGCGUUGUAUUAGCUAGUAGGUGAGGUAACGGCUCACCUAGGCGACGAUACAUAGCCGACCUGAGAGGGUGACCGGCCACAUUGGGACUGAGACACGGCCCAGACUCCUACGGGAGGCAGCAUG
This 261-nucleotide ribosomal RNA is filed under the name uncultured bacterium. Its description in RNAcentral is "partial 16S ribosomal RNA". It matches the Rfam family "Bacterial small subunit ribosomal RNA", at positions 99 to 353 of the family's 1533-position model. The record is from RNAcentral.